RNAcentral lists this small RNA (93 nucleotides) under Arabidopsis thaliana (thale cress). Its description in RNAcentral is "ATSL217900". The record is from RNAcentral. Lineage: Eukaryota; Viridiplantae; Streptophyta; Magnoliopsida; Brassicales; Brassicaceae.
CAAGAUGACGGCUUUGACAUUAUCUACAGUAAACUCAGAAGCGAAAGGUUGUUCUUUGUAGAUCCCCAUCAAGAGAUCAAUCAUGCUCUCGGU